RNAcentral lists this small nuclear RNA (107 nucleotides) under Myotis brandtii (Brandt's bat). The record is from RNAcentral. Lineage: Eukaryota; Metazoa; Chordata; Mammalia; Chiroptera; Vespertilionidae.
GUGCUCACUUUGGCAGCACAUAUACUAAAAUUGGAACAAUACAGAGAAGAUUAGUAUGGCUCCUGAGCAAGGAUGACUUGCAAAUUCUUGAAGUGUUCCAUAUUUUU